CCUACGGGUGGCAGCAGUGGGGGAUAUUGCACAAUGGGGGAAACCCUGAUGCAGCGACGCCGCGUGGGUGAAGCAGUAUUUCGGUAUGUACAGCCCUAUCAGCAGGGAAGAAAGAAGACGGUACCUGACUAAGAAGCCCCUGCUAACUACGUGCCAGCAGCCGCGGUAAUACGUAGGGGGCGGUCGUUAUCCGGAUUCACUGGGUGUAAAGGGAGCGUAGACGGCCGUGCAAGCCAGGAGUGAAAGCCCGGGGCCCAACCCCGGGACUGCUCUUGGAACUGUGCGGCUGGAGUGCGGGAGGGGCAGGCGGAAUUCCUGGGGUAGCGGUGAAAUGCGUAGAUAUCAGGAGGAACACCGGCGGCGAAGGCGGCCUGCUGGACCGCGACUGACGUUGAGGCUCGAAAGCGUGGGGAGCGAACAGGAUUAGAUACCCCUGUAGUC
RNAcentral lists this ribosomal RNA (441 nucleotides) under uncultured bacterium. Its description in RNAcentral is "partial 16S ribosomal RNA". It matches the Rfam family "Bacterial small subunit ribosomal RNA", at positions 338 to 795 of the family's 1533-position model. The record is from RNAcentral.